CGAUCCCAUUCCGAACUCGGUAGUUAAGCUCCUUUGCGCCGAUGAUACUUCAUCUCAAGAUGCGGGAAAGUAGGACACUGCCAGGA
RNAcentral lists this ribosomal RNA (86 nucleotides) under Magnetococcales bacterium. The record is from RNAcentral. Lineage: Bacteria; Pseudomonadati; Pseudomonadota; Magnetococcia; Magnetococcales.